AAGUGGAGAGAACUGGCUGUUGCACAAUUGAGUUAAUGCUAAAUCAUUUGCAUGUGGAAUUUGGUUUCAUUCGAGUGAGACGAGAGGAAGCUGUGCAUUGUGGAGUUUGCCUGUUGGCCUCUGGGUUGCAGACAAAGCCACUGGAUUCUGUGGUCCCUCCGGAAGGCCAGUCAUUUCCUGAGGAGAUAUCAGGCCAGCCCAGACCUCAUUGUUCUUGGUUUCCAGCUAUGGCCACCAUUACCUGACAAGUACCAGAGUUGGUCUCUCUGUGGGCGCCUAAAGAAGCCGCCAGAGUAGUUUCUGCUUUUCACACAGAGGAUUUCUGGUCUGUGACGGAGAAGAGAAUUCUGCCCCUGAGGCAUGGCCAGAAGGCAGAACUAACUGUGAACCUCAGUCUGAGACAAUCUUCCUCUCAAGAUGCAGCUGAGGUGGGCCUCAGUCAGCAAGAUGCACCAGGCGGUCCUGCUAACACUGCUUCUCUAUUCAAGCCUCCAGGCUCAGGAGAACUCUUUCACCAUUAACAGCAUCCACAUGAAAAGCCUGCCGUCCUGGGAGAUACCGAACGGGUACAGCGUGACCCUGGAGUGCCUUGUGGAUAUCAGCACCACCUCGAAAGUCAGGUCCCAUCACCAGGUGCUGUUCUAUAAGGAUGAAAUGCUGUUGUUCAACAUCUCCUCCACGGAGUACACAGAGAGCAUCUUCAUUCCCCAGGCUCGGGUCUUCCAUUCAGGGAGGUACAAAUGCACCGUGGUCCUGAACAGCAAGGAGAAAACCACCCAAGAAUAUCAGCUGUUGGUGAAAGGCGUGCCCAGCCCCACUGUGACACUGGACAAAAAGGAGGUGACAGAAGGUGGAGUUGUGACUGUCAAUUGUUCUGUGAAAGAAGAACUGCCACCGAUAUAUUUUAAGAUUGAAAAAGUAGAACUGGGUACAAAACUUGUGAAGCAAAUAAGAGACAAGACUUCGAACCAGAAUUUCGUGGUAAUGGAUUUCCCCAUCGAGGAGCAGGACCACGUGCUAGUGUUCCGAUGUCAAGCUGGGAUCAUGUCCGGGAUCCAAAUGCAGACCUCAGAAUCCACCCGGAGUGAAUACGUUACGGUGCAGGAGUCCUUCUCUACUCCCAAGUUUCUAAUCCACCCUUCUGGAGUGAUCAUAGAAGGAGACCAGCUAUACAUUAAGUGCACAGUUCAAGUGACACACUUGGUCCGGGAAUUUCCAGAAAUUAUAAUCCAAAAGGACAAGACUAUUGUGGCCACCUCCAAACGGAACAUUGAGGCUCUCUACUCAGUCAUGGCCACGGUGGAGAAUAGUGGCCAUUAUACCUGCAAAGUGGAAUCUAACCGCAUCUCCAAGGUCAGCAGCAUCAUGGUCAACAUAACAGAGCUGUUUCCCAAACCGAAGCUGCAAUUCUCCUCCAAAGAAGUGGACCAAGGGAAAAUUUUGGAUCUGUUUUGCUCUGUCCCGGGCAUACCUUCAGUCAACUUCACCAUCCAGAAGGAAACAAUGAUCUUGUCUCAGGAUCAGAAUUUCAGCAAGAUUGCCGAGGACAGAGACAGUGGGAUGUACAGCUGUACCGCAGGCAUCGGCAGAGUGGUCAAGCGGAGCGACCCGGUACACAUAAAGGUGUGCGAAAUGCUGUCUAAGCCUAGGAUAUUUCAUGAUGCCAAGGCUGAGAUCAUAAAAGGACAUGCCAUAACCAUCAGCUGCCAGUCUGUAAAUGGAACUGCACCUGUCACUUACCACCUUAUAAAAGACACAAAUGUCUUCCUGGAUCGCAUGGUGACCUCCAAUGACCCAGCAGCAUUCACAGAUGAGCCCAUCGAAGAUGUGGAAUACCAGUGCAUGGCGAACAACUGCCAUUCCCACCCUCAGUUGUACAGCGAGACCCUGAGGGUCAAGGUGAUAGCCCCGGUGGACGAAGUUACGAUUUCUAUCCUGUCAAGUAACGAGGUUCCGUCUGGGAAUGAAAUAGUACUUCGAUGCUCUGUGAAAGAGGGGACUGGCCCAAUCACGUUCAAGUUUUACAAAGAAAACGAUGACAGACCCUUCCACGAAACCACCCUGAAUGACACCCAAGCAUUUUGGGUUGAGAAACAAGCCAGCAAGAAGCAGGAGGGACAGUACUAUUGCACAGCCUCCAACAGAGCCAGUCAUUCGAGCAGCCCGCGAAGCAACAGUCUAACGGUCAGAGUCUUUCUUGCUCCCUGGGUGAAAGGACUCAUUGCAGUGGUUGUCAUUGGAGCAGUCAUCGCUGCGUUGAUAGUUGCAGCCAAAUGCUACUUCCUGAGGAAAGCCAGAGCCAAACAGAAACCCGUGGAGAUGUCCAGGCCGGCAGCUCCGCUUCUGAACUCCAACAGUGAGAAGGUUUCUGAGCCCAAUGUGGAAGCCAACAGUCAUUAUGACCCCCAGAAUAAGGAUGAUGUGGAAUACACAGAAGUACAAGUGUCCCUCCCUGCACCUCACCAAGCCUGGGACCCCAGACCGCGACACACCACCUCAAUUAACCCAAUUUAGAAACUUCCUCACAGACAUGCCUAGAGGUAAAGCUUCCAUGAUGUCGUGGAAAACAGAUAUUCUAGAACGGGAAACUCCCUUGAUGGAACUUAAGACAACCAAGACAGGUGCCUGUGCCUGGGAGAACAUUCACGUCCCAAGAAGAGCAGCCGAUUCCCAUAUUCCAAGAGUCCUGUGCACUUAUUUAGGAACCGGCCCUGCCCACACUGAAAGUAGCAUUUCUUCAGGCCAAGCCAUCCAUUCUUAAAUCUCUUACCUUAUUAAUGUUGGGUAUAAAGAGAAUCAGCGGGGCAGUUUAGUGGCCAGCCAAAUCAUUCUUCCAAGCUGGAGCAUCCUUGCAAUUUGGAAGAGUGAGAGGAGGUUGGGGUGAACAAACCUCUGGAAUUUUUUGAAGGUCAAAUACCACAUCUCAGAGAGACAACGUGCUUUUUCACGUGCCUCCUACACAGAAGCCUGUUUUUGUCCUGUAGUCAGUUACUUUUAGCGAAUGGUCUGGACUCCGGGGUUAGAAUUUUUGUUUUGUUUUCUUUCUGUCUUUCUUUUUCCUUCUGGGCUGGCCUUGUUCUUUGGACAUAUACAGUGCUGCUCAGACAGUCACCUGUCGCCUGUAUGGUGACUUCACUCACGAACAGGGAUGGGGGUGGGCAGCUGACUGGCUGCAGUGCCUGUGAAGCAGCAACUUGAAGGCAAGCCACAGGCAGGCGAUGCCACAGCUAGACUGGACAAGCCAGCACAGAAGUCCUUUAACUGAUUUCCAGGUCUUUCUUUUCCUCUCCCUUGCUGCAGGCCUAAAGAGGAGAAAUGAUUGGCUACAGCAAAUGGAGUUUUUUUUUUUUUUUCUUUUAAUAGUAAAAGGAAAUGUGUACUUUCCCCACUAAUUUUUCUUUAUUUAUUCCCUGCUAAAGAAAUGGUCUCCUGAGGUCCCUGGCUGUUUUCCAAGGGUGGCCUGAGUGGGGGAUGGGAGCUGCCUCCGUGUUGCUGUGGAACAUUCAUAUCUAAACAUCAUCUUCCCUGUUUGCCUCAGCCAUCCAGCUGCAGGGCCCCUGAGGGGUGUUGUAUUAAAUAAAAUU
Cricetulus griseus (Chinese hamster) is the source of this 3584-nucleotide non-coding RNA. NCBI's taxonomy places the organism in Eukaryota, Metazoa, Chordata, Mammalia, Rodentia, Cricetidae. The record is from RefSeq and is a predicted model, not a curated record.